Molecule: long non-coding RNA, 772 nt
Filed under: Mytilus galloprovincialis (Mediterranean mussel)
Lineage: Eukaryota; Metazoa; Mollusca; Bivalvia; Mytilida; Mytilidae
Source: RNAcentral
UCUAUUUUAUGGAAUGUAUUUGUCAAACUACAGGCAAGACAUGUUGGUCCUGUUAUCUGGAAAUCUAUCAUAAAAUGGCAAGUAAUGGUCUCAACAACUAAGGUAAGGGUUAUAUGAUGGUUCUUUUGUGGUUUAUAAAAAAUAUACCACGAGUCCAAGCGUGACCAACUGCCUGAUGACUUAUGACUAUACAUAUAAUGACAAAUACAUAUACAAUUUACAUGACUCCAAUAUAAUUAUAUGAUGAACUGAACAUCUGUUCCUUAAAAGUUGCAGACCAGCUACAUAAUGAAUAACAAUAAAUCUUUUGUAUAGAAUGACAGAAUAAAAGUUGAUAAGAUUAUUGUACACAUGAAAAUCGUGAAAUGUUUGUGGAAAAAUAUAAGAUUUUUAAACAAAUCUUUAAAUCAACAAUAAAAAUAUCUAAAUUAAAUAAAAUUUUCUUUAUUCUUUAAACACGUUUUUAACACCUAUAAGACCAAUAAUCAUUCACUUUAGAUUAUCAUCAAGCUUCACUUACACAAUAUUGGCCAGAGUAAGAUGACAAACUAAUAGCAUUUUAGGUGAACUUAGCGAGUAACUGCUGAAAACUUUUGAAUUAAUAAAUGUUGGAUUAAUAACUUUUAAAUUCAGAUAAAACUGUGUGUAUAGUAUUUUGUGUAGUACACCCAAUGCAAAGAUGAAAGAAAACAUCAAAACUGAAAGUUAUUCUAACUGUAUAAAAAAGUGGUACCUUUAGUCCUUCGUUUCAUAGAUGUCCAUUGUACACAUU